RNAcentral lists this ribosomal RNA (971 nucleotides) under Saccharomyces paradoxus NRRL Y-17217. Its description in RNAcentral is "SSU rRNA". It matches the Rfam family "Eukaryotic small subunit ribosomal RNA", at positions 1 to 982 of the family's 1831-position model. The record is from RNAcentral. Lineage: Eukaryota; Fungi; Ascomycota; Saccharomycetes; Saccharomycetales; Saccharomycetaceae.
UCUGGUUGAUCCUGCCAGUAGUCAUAUGCUUGUCUCAAAGAUUAAGCCAUGCAUGUCUAAGUAUAAGCAAUUUAUACAGUGAAACUGCGAAUGGCUCAUUAAAUCAGUUAUCGUUUAUUUGAUAGUUCCUUUACUACAUGGUAUAACUGUGGUAAUUCUAGAGCUAAUACAUGCUUAAAAUCUCGACCCUUUGGAAGAGAUGUAUUUAUUAGAUAAAAAAUCAAUGUCUUCGGACUCUUUGAUGAUUCAUAAUAACUUUUCGAAUCGCAUGGCCUUGUGCUGGCGAUGGUUCAUUCAAAUUUCUGCCCUAUCAACUUUCGAUGGUAGGAUAGUGGCCUACCAUGGUUUCAACGGGUAACGGGGAAUAAGGGUUCGAUUCCGGAGAGGGAGCCUGAGAAACGGCUACCACAUCCAAGGAAGGCAGCAGGCGCGCAAAUUACCCAAUCCUAAUUCAGGGAGGUAGUGACAAUAAAUAACGAUACAGGGCCCAUUCGGGUCUUGUUAUUGGAAUGAGUACAAUGUAAAUACCUUAACGAGGAACAAUUGGAGGGCAAGUCUGGUGCCAGCAGCCGCGGUAAUUCCAGCUCCAAUAGCGUAUAUUAAAGUUGUUGCAGUUAAAAAGCUCGUAGUUGAACUUUGGGCCCGGUUGGCCGGUCCGAUUUUUUCGUGUACUGGAUUUCCAACGGGGCCUUUCCUUCUGGCUAACCUUGAGUCCUUGUGGCUCUUGGCGAACCAGGACUUUUACUUUGAAAAAAUUAGAGUGUUCAAAGCAGGCGUAUUGCUCGAAUAUAUUAGCAUGGAAUAAUAGAAUAGGACGUUUGGUUCUAUUUUGUUGGUUUCUAGGACCAUCGUAAUGAUUAAUAGGGACGGUCGGGGGCAUCAGUAUUCAAUUGUCAGAGGUGAAAUUCUUGGAUUUAUUGAAGACUAACUACUGCGAAAGCAUUUGCCAAGGACGUUUUCAUUAAUCAAGA